AUGGAGCGGCUGCGGCUGCCGCCGAACGCGCGCUGCCCUCUUCGCCUCGUCUGCCGGCACUGGCGCGACGUCGUCGACCAGCUCUCGGCGAUGGACUUGCGCAGCCGCCCCAGGAUCCUCGCCUUCAGCCCCGAGGGCCUCGCGUACGUCGGCGACGUUGUCCUGCCGCCGGAGGGCGGCCGAGAACCGUCGUGGUCGACGGACCACUCCAUGCCUGCAAUCUACGGUUCCAUGAGCAUGGUCGGCACCUGCAACGGCCUCGUGUGCCUGUGCGAUGACCGGGAGCCCGGUGGCGCCGUCAUGCUGGCCAACCCGUCGACCGGCCAAUCGCUCGCCGUCCCGCCGCUGCCGCUGUCCAACGCCGCCGUCCGGCUCCUGUGCAACAGCACCUGCACCAUGACGUGGCACCAGACGUACAUCCUGGCGCGGCACCCUGCGACGGGGCGGUACAAGGCCGGCCCCGACGCCAGGUGCGUCCACGGCGCCUACCGCCUCGCCGACGUCGACGGCACCGUGUAUUGGGUCGCGGAGACGGAGGACGCCGCCAAGAUCAUGUCGUUUGACCUUGAAGACGAGAGCGUCACGCCCACCGAGCCUCUGCCCGUGCCAGCCCAACCGGGCAACUGUCGCCUGACGAAGGUGCACGGGAGGCUGGGCGUUGCCAUCAGCGGCGACGACUGGCUGACGGUGUGGGUUCUGGAGGGCGAGGGAUGGAGCCCCCGGUACAUCGUGGAGGCGCACAGGCUGCGGCAGCAGCAGCCGUGGCUGAGGCGGGACCUCGUGGUGCCGCACUUCGCACAUGGCGACUACAUCCUCGCAUAUCGAGACCGCAAGAUGUACGGGCACAAGGUGAGUCAAGCGGCGAGGUUGCCGGACGGCGUGGUGCAGAUCAGAGACAACAAGGACCUCGACGGGGAAAUACUUUCUCUCCCGUGCCUUAUUGACCGGAUGUUUGCCUACGUCGAGACCAAGGAGCCCUUGAAUGUUUACAAAGCAUCAAUGCCGGCGUGGUAG
Molecule: ribosomal RNA, 1014 nt
Filed under: Triticum aestivum (bread wheat)
Lineage: Eukaryota; Viridiplantae; Streptophyta; Magnoliopsida; Poales; Poaceae
Description: partial small subunit ribosomal RNA
Source: RNAcentral